RNAcentral lists this ribosomal RNA (550 nucleotides) under Quasipaa boulengeri (spiny-bellied frog). RNAcentral's name for it is "partial 16S ribosomal RNA". It matches the Rfam family "Bacterial large subunit ribosomal RNA", at positions 1928 to 2597 of the family's 2925-position model. The record is from RNAcentral. Lineage: Eukaryota; Metazoa; Chordata; Amphibia; Anura; Dicroglossidae.
CGCCUCUUGUAAUUAUAAUGUCCUAGCCUGCCAGUCACUUAGUUGUUCGGAAGCAGGUACCCUGACCGUGCGAGGUCAGCAUAAUUAUCUUGUUCUUUAAAUAAGACUAGUAUCAACGGCAUCUACGAGGGUUACACUGUCUCCUCCCUCCAAUCAGUGAAACUGAUCUCCCCCGUGAAGAAGCGGGGAUAAAAAUAUAAGACGAGAAGACCCCAUGGAGCUUUAAACCCAACAACAACCUCUAUGCACAACCCCCUAAUAAAUGCAGAAGUACUGUCUGUUGGUUUUAGGUUGGGGUGACCGCGGAGUAAAACUUAGCCUCCACGAUGAACGGGAUUAACCCCUAAUCCAAGAGCCACCGCUCUAAGAAUCAAUAAAUUGACAUGAGAUGAUCCGACUAUCGAUCAACGAACCAAGUUACCCUGGGGAUAACAGCGCAAUCCAUUUCAAGAGCCCUAUCGACAAAUGGGUUUACGACCUCGAUGUUGGAUCAGGGUAUCCAGUGGUGCAGCAGCUACUAAAGGUUUGUUUGUUCAACAAUUAAAACCCU